UACGGGGGGGGCAAGCGUUGUUCGGAAUUACUGGGCGUAAAGGGCGCGUAGGCGGCCGCCUAAGUCAGACGUGAAAUCCCUCGGCUCAACCGGGGAACUGCGUCUGAUACUGGAUGGCUUGAGUUUGGGAGAGGGAUGCGGAAUUCCAGGUGUAGCGGUGAAAUGCGUAGAUAUCUGGAGGAACACCGGUGGCGAAGGCGGCAUCCUGGACCAACACUGACGCUGAGUGAGCGAAAGCCAGGGGAGCAAACGGG
This 254-nucleotide ribosomal RNA is filed under the name uncultured bacterium. Its description in RNAcentral is "partial 16S ribosomal RNA". It matches the Rfam family "Bacterial small subunit ribosomal RNA", at positions 524 to 776 of the family's 1533-position model. The record is from RNAcentral.